Molecule: long non-coding RNA, 579 nt
Filed under: Homo sapiens (human)
Lineage: Eukaryota; Metazoa; Chordata; Mammalia; Primates; Hominidae
Description: non-protein coding RASGRF2-AS1:10
Source: RNAcentral
AAGCAAUAGAUGGUUGGCAGAGAAGCUGAAACGACUCGACCUCUACCAGGGCUCAGCUUUCUCAUCACUGAACUGGAGAUACAGGAGUUGGAGACUUGGAAUCCCCUUUGGUGCAGAAACUAUUCCUUCAUGAGAAGAAGUCCUUAAAUAGGCUCUUUAGACAGGAGGCCACAUGUUGAAGGCAGCAGGGUCACAAGAUGGAAGAACCAGGGUCCCAGUAUCAUCGCUCCCUGCUUCAAGCUGCCAGGGGCAGCCUAACCCACAUGGCAUUAUGACAUAAGAAACAAAGUAACUAUUGUUUUAUUAAAUCAAUGAGAUAUUGGGCUUCUUGUUAUAGCAACUAGUAUAAAUUGCCCUGACUGAUACAUUAUGGAUUUAGAGUGCACUGUACUACAACUGUUUGUUGUAUUUUCAAAAUUGUGGUAUAACUGACUUACAAUAAACUUCAUAUAUUUAAAGAGUACUAUUUAAUAAGUUCAACAUAUUCAUAUAUCCAUGAAACCAUCACCACAAUCAAAAUAAGACACAUUUCCAUCAACUGAAAAAGUCUCCUCAUUCUCCUUUGAAAUCUCUUCUUCC